AAGAGUAGCUUAAAACCAAAGCAUCUGACCUACAAUCAGAAAAUAUUAUAAAUAAUCUCUUUGA
This 64-nucleotide transfer RNA is filed under the name Epictia columbi. RNAcentral's name for it is "tRNA-Val". It matches the Rfam family "tRNA". From Rfam's summary of the family: Transfer RNA (tRNA) molecules are approximately 80 nucleotides in length. Their secondary structure includes four short double-helical elements and three loops (D, anti-codon, and T loops). Lineage: Eukaryota; Metazoa; Chordata; Lepidosauria; Squamata; Leptotyphlopidae. The record is from RNAcentral.